Molecule: transfer RNA, 74 nt
Filed under: Lentisphaerota bacterium
Lineage: Bacteria; Pseudomonadati; Lentisphaerota
Description: Lentisphaerae bacterium (anaerobic digester metagenome) tRNA-Arg
Rfam family: tRNA
About the family: Transfer RNA (tRNA) molecules are approximately 80 nucleotides in length. Their secondary structure includes four short double-helical elements and three loops (D, anti-codon, and T loops).
Source: RNAcentral
ACCCCCGUAGCUCAGUUGGAUAGAGCAUCGGAUUUCUAAUCCGAUGGUCGCAGGUUCGAUUCCUGCCGGGGGUG